This 164-nucleotide ribosomal RNA is filed under the name Steirodiscus tagetes. Its description in RNAcentral is "5.8S ribosomal RNA". It matches the Rfam family "5.8S ribosomal RNA". Rfam says of the family: 5.8S ribosomal RNA (5.8S rRNA) is a component of the large subunit of the eukaryotic ribosome. It is transcribed by RNA polymerase I as part of the 45S precursor that also contains 18S and 28S rRNA. The record is from RNAcentral. Lineage: Eukaryota; Viridiplantae; Streptophyta; Magnoliopsida; Asterales; Asteraceae.
CAAACGACUCUCGGCAACGGAUAUCUCGGCUCACGCAUCGAUGAAGAACGUAGCAAAAUGCGAUACUUGGUGUGAAUUGCAGAAUCCCGUGAACCAUCGAGUUUUUGAACGCAAGUUGCGCCCGAAGCCUUCUAGCCGAGGGCACGUCUGCCUGGGCGUCACAC